UACGUAGGGGGCUAGCGUUGCUCGGAAUCACUGGGCGUAAAGCGCACGUAGGCGGCUUCUUAAGUCAGGGGUGAAAUCCUGGAGCUCAACUCCAGAACUGCCUUUGAUACUGAGGAGCUCGAGUCCGGGAGAGGUGAGUGGAGCUCCGAGUGUAGAGGUGAAAUUCGUAGAUAUUAGGAAGACCCCCGGUGGCGAUGGCGGCCCACUGGUCCGGUACUGACGCUGAGGUGCGAAAGCGUGGGGAGCAAACAGG
This 253-nucleotide ribosomal RNA is filed under the name uncultured bacterium. Its description in RNAcentral is "partial 16S ribosomal RNA". It matches the Rfam family "Bacterial small subunit ribosomal RNA", at positions 524 to 776 of the family's 1533-position model. The record is from RNAcentral.